Molecule: long non-coding RNA, 841 nt
Filed under: Marmota monax (woodchuck)
Lineage: Eukaryota; Metazoa; Chordata; Mammalia; Rodentia; Sciuridae
Source: RNAcentral
CGAUAUUUCUGAAUCUCAACUCUUCAGUAAUAAGAACUGGACUGUGUUUGCUUGGCCUCUACUUCCUGUUCGUGGGGAAACUCCUCUGCGGAGGUGCUGUGAGAAAGAUUGCUAGAUUGGGGAGAGGGUUUCUAGAUGCCAAGGUAAGAAGUUCAAGGGAGUCUACCGAAUUGCCAUUAGAAGAAUGGUAUUUAUUAAGUACUAGUUUUCCUAAUCCUGAAGAUUUGUUUUCACCAUACUUGGAAAGACAUUAAGCAUAAGAGGUCGUGUAGGGGAAAGACAUUAAGCAUAAGACAUCAUGUAGGGGAGAAGAACUGAGGAGAUACAUUACAGACUUUGAAGUUAAUGUUAGGGCAGGGAAGAAGCUGUACACUAAAUGAAAAUGGACAUGCAGUAACCAAGGUCAAAGCAAGAACACAAGAGUUUCUACCUUGUUCAUUCUUUAGGUUUGCAUCUUAUUUCCCUCCUUACCUCACAUGUAUCUUCAAAUCUAGGCUUUCUAUAAGAUACUAAUGGACAUUUAUAGAAGUCACAGAGGCCACUUAUAGGAGGCAUGUGGACCACUAACUAGAACAGUUGAGCUGAGGAAUGUAUCGGAAACCAUCGUCAUUUUCUGUCCCCUCCUGUCUUAGGCUGGCCGGUUCCCUGAUGUGUUACCUGAUUCUGCCACUGUUGCAAACUGCAGAACUUCUUUCAUCCCCAAGGCCUCCAGGCAGUAUCCAAUGGGCAAUCAGCUCUAAAUGGAAACCAGAACAACGUUUUCCAGCCCCUUCAUUCUGAUGACUGAUGGAAGGAACAAAGAGUGGGAGGAGGGAUAUACUUGCCUAGUGGAUGGAAAACA